Paramuricea clavata is the source of this 911-nucleotide non-coding RNA. NCBI's taxonomy places the organism in Eukaryota, Metazoa, Cnidaria, Anthozoa, Malacalcyonacea, Plexauridae. The record is from the annotation of a GenBank genome assembly.
GUUCCCUCCAUCAUAAGUUGAAACAAAGAUGCUUUUGGCAUCAAGAAAUUUAUUGCGCACCCGAUAUGUCAAAAAUAUAAUGGUGAAGCCCCGGUCAGGCAUUUAUUACCGAGGUCAUUUAAUUAAAGCUCUAGAUAUUAACAAAAUAACGGUUUGAUGAGUGUUCCAUCUAUGUUUUAACCAAAAUAGAAUACAUGAUAGCGUUGGGAAAGCAUUAAGAACAGCUAACCAAGCUCGCGUGACUGCAUCCUUGUUUCAUCUGGGCUUAAACAUAAAGAAUCCAUCAAAACUGGACAGCGAUAACCUAUAGACAGCGACAAGCUAUAGAUUGCGCGAUACAACCUUUCUACUUUGGGACUUCAAACAAAUCUCACAUUCUGACCUUGCAAGCAAGUGUGCAGGGCGUGCGUGCAGCGACCACCCAUGGUACGCGCCACAGCCAGUGGUGAUGCGACAACAAUAUACGGGCGAUAUUCGAGCCGCCCGCGAUUCGGCGACUAUAAAGGCCAGUUGUCAUCGCGAGGUGAGCAGGGCAAAUACUGUUCUUAAUUUAGUUUGCGAGCGAACGUGUUGAGUGGCGGCAUUUUACAAAUAUGAUAAUAUUUUUCAAUCUCAUUAAUUUUGAGUGACGUUUUGACAAUGACGGUUGCACUAUUAGAUUAUCUCAAAUAGUUUUGAAUAUUAUUUGCAUGAAUAUCAAAUACAAUUAGCAGAGAAGGCAACACGUAUAUUAUGUAUCCAGUCACGUUCUCAGACUCAGAGUGUUAAAUUCAUUGAUUUCUUGUUAGAUAUGUGUUAUAUUAGGUCCGUUGAAGAAUACUGUGAUUAUGCCCAAAAGUGAUAUUAAUAAUCUAUCCAAAUUUAUUAAAAGUGAAUUGUGUAAAACAUGUAAUACCAUAUGGAAAGAUCAG